Acaromyces ingoldii is the source of this 109-nucleotide non-coding RNA. NCBI's taxonomy places the organism in Eukaryota, Fungi, Basidiomycota, Exobasidiomycetes, Exobasidiales, Cryptobasidiaceae. The record is from the annotation of a RefSeq genome assembly.
GGGGCUAUAGCUCAGUUGGUAGAGCAUCUGAUUCCAGGUAUAGUUCUAGCAACGUUAGUCCUUUAUAGGAAUCUCCAGAAGGUCAUCCGUUCGAAUCGGGUUAGCCUCA